Molecule: long non-coding RNA, 333 nt
Organism: Patiria miniata (bat star)
Lineage: Eukaryota; Metazoa; Echinodermata; Asteroidea; Valvatida; Asterinidae
Exons: 3
Source: RefSeq, a predicted model, not a curated record
UGGUCAGCCACAAGUUGCCUACCCAGCCCAGCAGGGGCAGUAUCCGCAAGCUCAAGCGCCCCCAACGGCCUACCCAGCCCAGCAGGGGCAGUAUCCGCAGGCUCAAGCGGCCCCCACCGGUGAGCAACAGUACAAAGAACUCGUUCAAUAGGUCAUCGAUGAUCUUUGACCUGAUGGAAUCAUGAUAUCUGGAGUUGGAAGAAGAAUUAAAUUCUUGAUUUGUUCAUGUUAAGCUGUAUCUGGAUGUACAUUAGGUUUUAGCCGUACAUGCUGUGGGUCAACAAAUAGAUUUAGAUGCAAUGCAAUAAUGUUGUCCUGCUUUAUUUUAGAAUA